Long non-coding RNA from Oreochromis aureus, 1051 nucleotides. The record is from Ensembl. NCBI's taxonomy places the organism in Eukaryota, Metazoa, Chordata, Actinopteri, Cichliformes, Cichlidae.
AUUCAGUACCACAUACGAAAGUGACCCAGAUCGGAUUUGAAAAUAUCGGAUUUGUGCCGUUCACACUGUCAUACCAUGAUCGGAUAUGGGUCGCAUAGGGUCAGAAAAGUCGGAUUUGAUGCGCUUUCGCCUGCAGUGUGAACGUAGCCAAAAUGUGGCUACAAAUGCGUCCUACUCUGCCCCGAAUUUUAAGGAUGGGUCCGAUCUAUCCUUCGUGUCCUACCAUAUCCCAGGAUUCAUUGCGGUUCAUAGAGGAGAUUUGUUUCUGAUAACGAUGGUGGUCGAAGCAGGAGAGGAAAACGCCUUCAAAUGACAAUUUUGGAGAGGAUGGGCCUGCAGGGGAAAGUCACCCCCUUGCAGGCCAGAAGACAUGAGAUAACUUUAAAGAAUACAAAGAUUGCAAGUAUCCAAGCUCAGGAGAGGGAGUCAGUGGGAAGCCCACUGCUGCUACUUGGCCCUGGUUUGCCCUCAUGGAUGAGGUGAUAGGACAGAUGCCUUCCAUUAAGCCUCCUGUCCUAAUUUCCUCUCUCCCUGAGGACACUCCAGGGCCAAGCGCAGCAGUGGGUGACCAAAACGACAGCGAUGACGAAGCAGCUCAGCCACCUACGACAGGGAGAAAGAGGAAAGGAGAUGAUGAGCUGCUAGACCUCAUCAGAGAGGACAUGAGGCAGCAAAGAGAGGCUGAGUGGCUGCCACACCACUAAGAUGUUUUCAGAAAUAUGCAAGCAGGAGAUGGUGGAUGCUAUAUUAUUAGUAUAAUACUUGUAACUCUGUAGCAGACAACAGUUUGAUAAAGUGCUAUCUAAAAAACAAACACAAGAUUAGAUUCUAUACGUUUCAAAGAUAUUUAGUUUAUAUAUUUUAUAUGAUACAGUACAUGUGUGAGAAUGACCGAUAUUGUGCCAAAAAACGAUCGUCUGCCAAAAACUGAUUUCCGGUUUUUGCCCUAAACUGAUUGCUCGUAUUUAACCUGCUAUAAAUAACUUGUUGGUCUAUAAUACGUGAAACAUGUCAAAUGUUUCCCUCAUUAGUGAUAUCAAGUCACUUUGAG